UCCUCUAAUGGCAGCUGUUCAGGACAUAAACAGAGCAGUGAUGUUAGAAGUGUAUUUCUUUUUUUGCUCCUAGACUAUUUGUGUCCUGUGGGUCACUAUUGCCCCACUGGCAGCCCAGAGCCCAUACCGUGUCCCUCUGGAAAAUAUCAGGACCAGGCUGGUAAAAGCCACUGUGAAACUUGCCCAGUGGGAAUGUUCUGUGCCCCAGAAGACCACCCAGCUGAUCUCCAAGAGAACUUCUCACAAGGUGUGGUCAAACCAAUAGAAUGUCCAGCAGGAUAUUACUGCCCAUCGGGAACAAGAGCUGCCAAUCAGUACCCGUGCCCAGAGGGCACCUACAGUAACCAAACUGGAGUGGGAAAUCCCAGGGAGUGCAAGCCUUGUCCUGGAAGCACGUUUUGUGCCAGUGCAGGACUCUCGUCCCCAAGCGGUCCUUGUUUGCCUGGGUAUUACUGCACUUCGAAGGCCCGUAUACCCAAUCCUGUCAAUGAUGAGACGGGCAGCCUUUGCCCAGCAGGCUGUUACUGCCCACCUGGCAGCAGCAAGCCAGAGCUAUGUCCCACUGGCACGUUCUUACCUCAGUCUGGGAUGGUUUACCGUAACUCCUGUCUGCCCUGCCCUGGGGGGAAGUUCUGCCAAGGAGAAGGCCUGGCCAGGGUUUCUGGUGUGUAUUACAUGCAUUUAACAUCUUUUUUGUCUCCUACUUUGAACUUUUUUAUGUUUUCUGGUUGCUUAAACGUAAUGCUGAAGCUUUUCUUUCUCGCAGGAACAUGUUACGCCGGGUAUUUCUGUGAUCUUGGAUCCACACAGCCGGAUCAUAAGCAUUGCCCCCCUGGCUUCUACUGUCCCGAAGGCUCUGAAUCCCCGAUCCCAUGCAGCCCUGGAACCUUCAACUCCAAGAGUGGAAAAUGGCAGUCGACAGACUGUCAGCUCUGCCCAGCUGGAUACUUCUGCACUGGUUCUGGAGCACGUACUCCUGAGCUGUGUCCUGCUGGGUACUUCUGUCUGCCAGGUACCAACUUCAGUACAGAGCAUCUGUGUCCCAAGGGUACCUUUGGCCCCAGGACUGGUGCCACUGGCGAGUCUGACUGUGAGCCCUGCCCAGCAGGUGAGUGAGGACUUGGCACAAGAAACCCAGGGGACGUACAUGGGAAGGCUGAGGAAAAUAUGACUUCUUCCUUCAUGUUAUUGACUCCUCCGCUGAUCUUCUGUGCAGGCCUUCACACUGAGAUAGGUUUUCUGUUUGUUUUAGGCAUGUAUUGCUCAGCACCAGGUCUGUCACAGCCUUCUGGAUUUUGCUAUUCAGGUUAUCAUUGUGCCAAGGGAGCCAUCAG
This 1334-nucleotide long non-coding RNA is filed under the name Calidris pugnax (ruff). Its description in RNAcentral is "lncRNA (ENSCPUG00000014075.1)". Lineage: Eukaryota; Metazoa; Chordata; Aves; Charadriiformes; Scolopacidae. The record is from RNAcentral.